GAUAUUUAAGAGAAUGGGUUAUUUCUCAUUUCCAAUUUUUUAAACUAGAAUAUGAAGCACUUACGUAAUUACAGAUAAGAUAUUAGCUUAACAUCUAAAUGAUAUUUGGACUAGAAGGCAAUGAUCCUUUUUUAAGACUCCACGCCAUAAUAGCAAUGGGUUUCAUGAAAACUGAGACCCCAUUGCAAGCAGUAGUUAUAUUACCAUGGGAGGUUUUUUCCCCAUGUAUUUACUGGCCUUGAAAAAUACUAUUACUUCAACAGUAUUAUAUACAUGUGGUUUAGUUAAAACAGAGAAUAAAUUUAAAGAAAUUAAAGAAAUUUGAGUGGAUAAACAAAAUUAAACCAAAAUAUUAUAUGUAACACAUAAUGUAGAAAUUAAAUAGCAAAACAUGGUUGACAUAAGACAGUAGAGUGAGUUAACAAUUACAGUAGUAAUUGAGAAUGAAAUUGGAAAUGAGGACCAUAUGCUAAUACUAAUUAAAGAGCAAAGCUGUGAAGUUAUCUAAGGUGAUAAUGGCUUGCAAAAACAAUGUUCAAACAAGCCAUUGCAACCAUGAAGCUAUCUGAGGUGCUGCAGACUGCUGUGUUCCUAUACUGGGUCUUGUGAGUACUUUGAUGUGCGACUACAUCUUAGCAAUACUAGUCCUGGAUUUUGCAAUCAAAGGAAAACUUGACCUUUAAAUGGCAUGUUGCUUGGUUGAUGCAUAUCAUAACCGGCUGCUGGGUUUUCUUCUGUUGCGACAACAGGUUAUUGUAGGAGUUUUUAACCCAUGGGUUUCAGUACUGGCCAUGAAAAACUAGUAACACAAGAAAAGGUCGGUACAGGUCUAAAUAUAAUUAGAUGUAUCUUUGUUUAUUUACAUGCAAACUUAGAACACAUCAUGUUUCGUUUCUUGGAGCACCAGUCAGACUUGUGGGGUUACUGAGGUCAUGGCUGCUUGAAAAAGGCCAUGUUCAAACCAACAGCUGCACCCAUGAGGUUAUCUGAGGUGCUGACUAACACAACAUGGGAAUCACUUCAGAGAGCUGGAGCAAACUGCUGUGUUCCUUUGAGUACUUUGAUCUGUAACUACAUCUAUGGAUUUUGAGAUUGAAGGAAAGCUUGACCUUUAAAGGAUGUGUUGCUUGGGUGGGGCAUAAUUAUUAUAGCCUGCCCCUGGGUUUUUCUCCAUUGCGAGCAGUAGUUUUUCUAGAGGGUUUGACCCCAUGCCCUCACUGGGCAUGGAAAAAAAAAUUGUUAAACAACAAAAGGUAAGUACGUGUCUAAAUUAGUGUAGAUGUAGCUUUCUAAAAGAUGUUCAAACCAGUUGCUAAACCCAUGAGUUUAUCCAAGGUGCUGGCUGACACAACAUGGGAAUCACUUCAGAGAGCUGGAGCUGACUGCUGUGUUCCUAUAGGUCUUGUGAGUACUUUGAUGUGCAACUACAUCUGCUGAUUUUGAGAUCAUAGGAAAGCUUGGCCUUGUAAUACUGUGUUGCCUGGUUGAGGCAUAAUAUAGCCUGCUCCUGGGUUUUCCUCUGUCGUUAAUACAAGGUUAGCUAUCAUAGGAGGUUUUCACCCAGGGCUUUACUGGCCAUGAAAAACUAGAAAAACAACAAAAGGUAAGUACAAGUCUGAAUAUAUGUAAAUGUAUCUGAAAACUAUUGUGUUGUGCCAAAUAUAUCGAAUUUAAAUACUCUAUUGUAGAUUGUCAGACUACUCUAUCCCUGAGUAUUUAUUUUGUUUCCCUGCUUACAUGUACUUCAAAAAUGACAAAAUUUUAAUUUUUAAAACUUUUGCAGCAUGACUUCCUAGGAAGAAUUCCAAGUGGAAUGUGAUGAUGUGGGAAGGAUUGUGGACAGCUAGUCCAUCCUCUAUCAAUGUUUGAUUCCAUCCAAGAAGAGUGCAGUCAUGGGUGAAUUGCUGAUCCUCUUAAAGCGUCUUAUCAUACAUUGAUGAUGUGUGAAAGUUACGGACGGAUCCAUUCAUGUGACUUGCAGUAACAAGUUUGGCAGACGUCAUUCAAUUCUGGGAGAUAUCGUCAGGAUCUCAACGCAGAUUGUGAAAGUAGAUUAUCUCUUGUAAUAAUAGGUUAGAUAGUUUUCAAACGAAGACGUUUCAAUAAAACAAGCUAUCUAUUAUUGUUUAAAAUUAUUUUUUCCGCAAAUCCGCGUUUUUCUUUAUCGUUUUCACUCAUCACUAGCACUUGUGUAGGAUAAAAUUGUUACACUAGUUCUUUACUGUUUGAAUUUUUUAAAAAAACUGAAAUUAUUCCAAGAGAAAUAUGUUAUUAGAUGUUUUGGUGUGUAGUAUCGCUGCAUAUUUUUACUAGUUGUACCGUAUUUUGACUCGCCCUGCGGGCUCGUCAAAUACAAACAACGAGUAAAAAUAUAAAGCGAUACUACACACCAAAACAUCUGGUAAGAGAUGUAUUAUCCAACUGCCGUAUUCAAUAGAUUUAUCAAUGAAAAGAGGGAGAGUGUGACAGGUUUGCGUGCGCGAACCAACCUGUACGACAAUCGGGGUUUCUACUGUACAAAUAACUAUACAAUAUCGCUGUAUAUUUGUACUGUUAUUUGGACGGUAUGCGCUGCAGUUGGACAAUAAAAGCGUUUAUUUAACUUGCUGGAAGACAGUAUUCUUUUUUCGGCAUGAUCCAGUAUGAAGGUGGUUCUUGAUUGCGUAUACAUAAGAUAAUUGGAGCAAAUAUUAAAAAAA
Molecule: long non-coding RNA, 2699 nt
Filed under: Orbicella faveolata
Lineage: Eukaryota; Metazoa; Cnidaria; Anthozoa; Scleractinia; Merulinidae
Description: uncharacterized LOC110040442, transcript variant X1
Source: RNAcentral